CGGACGGGUGAGUAAUGCUUGGGAAUCUGGCUUAUGGAGGGGGAUAACUACGGGAAACUGUAGCUAAUACCGCGUAAUAUCUUCGGAUUAAAGGGUGGGACUUUCGGGCCACCUGCCAUAAGAUGAGCCCAAGUGGGAUUAGGUAGUUGGUGGGGUAAAGGCCUACCAAGCCGACGAUCUCUAGCUGGUCUGAGAGGAUGACCAGCCACACUGGAACUGAGACACGGUCCAGACUCCUACGGGAGGCAGCAGUGGGGAAUAUUGCACAAUGGGGAGAACCCUGAUGCAGCCAUGCCGCGUGAAUGAAGAAGGCCUUCGGGUUGUAAAGUUCUUUCGGUGAUGAGGAAGGUGUUUGUUUUAAUAGAGCAAGCAAUUGACGUUAGUCACAGAAGAAGCACCGGCUAACUCCGUGCCAGCAGCCGCGGUAAUACGGAGGGUGCGAGCGUUAAUCGGAAUGACUGGGCGUAAAGGGCACGCAGGCGGUGACUUAAGUGAGAUGUGAAAGCCCCGAGCUUAACUUGGGAAUUGCAUUUCAUACUGGGUCGCUAGAGUACUUUAGGGAGGGGUAGAAUUCCACGUGUAGCGGUGAAAUGCGUAGAGAUGUGGAGGAAUACCGAAGGCGAAGGCAGCCCCUUGGGAAUGUACUGACGCUCAUGUGCGAAAGCGUGGGGAGCAAACAGGAUUAGAUACCCUGGUAGUCCACGCUGUAAACGCUGUCGAUUUGGGGAUUGGGCUUUAAGCUUGGUGCCCGUAGCUAACGUGAUAAAUCGACCGCCU
RNAcentral lists this ribosomal RNA (777 nucleotides) under uncultured Actinobacillus sp. RNAcentral describes it as "bacterial SSU rRNA". It matches the Rfam family "Bacterial small subunit ribosomal RNA", at positions 99 to 874 of the family's 1533-position model. The record is from RNAcentral. Lineage: Bacteria; Pseudomonadati; Pseudomonadota; Gammaproteobacteria; Pasteurellales; Pasteurellaceae.